This 95-nucleotide microRNA precursor is filed under the name Marmota monax (woodchuck). The record is from RNAcentral. Lineage: Eukaryota; Metazoa; Chordata; Mammalia; Rodentia; Sciuridae.
AGUGGAAUAGCUGGGUCAAAUGAUGGUUCCAUUUCCAGUUAAUCUCUAUACUGCUUUCCAGAUUGGCUGCACAAAUUUGCAGUCCCACCAGCAAU